GUGGGCCCCGGCCCCUCCAUGUCUGACAGAACUGCUCUGCUUCUCCUACAGUCCCUGAGAUUCUGCAGCUCAGCGAUGCCCUGCGGGACGACAUCCUGCCCGAGCUUGGGGUGCGGUUUGAAGACCAUGAAGGACUGCCCACGGUGGUGAAACUGGUAGACAGAAACACCUUAUUAAAAGAGAGAGAAGAAAAGAGACGAGUUGAAGAGGAGAAGAGGAAGAAGAAAGAGGAGGCGGCCCGGAGGAAACAGGAACAAGAAGUAAUGCAUUUUGUUUGGGGGUGAGGGCUCUCCUGGGCAGGAGUGCACCCUGACCCCAUGCCCUGUGGCUCUCUGUGCCUCCGUGGACCUUAGCCAGGCCCCUGCAGACCCUCACAGAAGGAGCUCCACUUUCUGCCUCCACCACGCAAGGCCUGCCAGGCCCUUGUCACAUGGGGUGCAGGGAAGGCCUGGCCAAGGGGAAGCCUGUGCUAUUUGGUCACAAGCUCCAAGACAGCGUUUAUAGACUUACUACUAUUAGGGUUUCUAGUAAGCUUUCCACUAUUCCUGUAGAAGUAACAUCUGGUUUAAUUUUAAAUUCCUUGUAUGUUCCCUCCACCUUGGCUUUCCCCUUCCCAUCUUUCAUAGCACUCUGAAUCUGAGGGCUUGGAAGCAAGUUGAGGGCUGGAGGUAUGAGCAGAUGUCGUUCACAGUGUGGAGCCCCAGGUGCUGCUCGGUGGCAGUGACUGUGCCAUGUUGCGUGUUGUAGGCAGCAAAGCUGGCCAAGAUGAAGAUUCCCCCCAGUGAGAUGUUCCUGUCAGAAACCGACAAAUACUCCAAGUUUGAUGAAAAUGGUCUGCCCACACACGACACAGAGGGCAAAGAGCUCAGCAAAGGGCAAGCCAAGAAGCUGAAGAAGCUCUUCGAGGCUCAGGAGAAGCUCUACAAGGAAUAUUUGCAGAUGGCCCACAAUGGAAGCUUCCAGUGAGGGGCACAGGACUGACUUUUUAAACCAUUGUGGACUAGUGGCUGCUGUCUGCCUCAGUGACAACGCCCCAGUGCUCCAAUCAUGUUUACAGUCGCCCUUGGGUCCUAAAUUAAGAGUUGUGUUCAUGUAGGUUCAUGUCGUCGUUGGCUCUGAGACAUUGAUAAUAAAUUUUUCUGAACAGUGA
This 1150-nucleotide small RNA is filed under the name Pongo abelii (Sumatran orangutan). RNAcentral describes it as "retained intron". Lineage: Eukaryota; Metazoa; Chordata; Mammalia; Primates; Hominidae. The record is from RNAcentral.